Molecule: ribosomal RNA, 176 nt
Filed under: Halobellus clavatus
Lineage: Archaea; Methanobacteriati; Methanobacteriota; Halobacteria; Halobacteriales; Haloferacaceae
Description: 16S rRNA. Archaeal SSU
Rfam family: Archaeal small subunit ribosomal RNA
Source: RNAcentral
AUUCCGGUUGAUCCUGCCGGAGGCCAUUGCUAUCGGAGUCCGAUUUAGCCAUGCUAGUCGCACGAGUUCAUACUCGUGGCAUAUAGCUCAGUAACACGUGGCCAAACUACCCUACAGCGACGGAUAACCUCGGGAAACUGAGGCCAAUCCGUCAUAGCGCUCUCUCAGUGGAAUAC